RNAcentral lists this long non-coding RNA (14490 nucleotides) under Citrus x clementina. Its description in RNAcentral is "Citrus clementina (C. clementina) long non-coding RNA (CCLE_LNC003426)". The record is from RNAcentral. Lineage: Eukaryota; Viridiplantae; Streptophyta; Magnoliopsida; Sapindales; Rutaceae.
AUUAUUAUGACCUUUAAUUCUUAACUAACCAUUUGUGUGGACAAAUAUGAGAUUAAGUAUCUAAUGUGCCAUAACUAUACUGGAAUGUGGACAUUAUGUCAAAAUACCAUAUAAAUUUGAGGAGAUCUAAAAUCUAUAAAUUAACAUGAUAUAAAAAAAGGGGUAAAGAAGAAAAAUACAAACAAAUAAAAUAAGCUUUCAAACCCACUUGAGAGAGUAAUUAAUUCAAUAAUUUGAAUCAUUGAGCUUCACAUUUCGCCUUAGCUUAGAAAAUUAACAACUCAUAUGAUAUAUACGAAACACUUAUUUUAUUUAACAAACUUCUCAAAUAUAUUAUAAGAAAACUAACUACAUAAAAGAAGAAAUCAUUUUAAGCCGCAAUCUUCAACUCCUUUCUCAUCUUCUCUCUGUGUCCCUCAUUUUUCUUCUUCUCGCCUUUUUUAGCCAACAAACAUCUCCACCUUCUUUUAUUUUAUUAUUAUUUUUUAUUACUUAUCUAUUUACAUAGAAAUGAGUGACAGUCAAGUGGCAAAGUGGCACUUGACUAUCACAGUAAUACAUGGCUUGCUUCCCUAUUUAUUUAUUUAUUACAUUUCCUCAAUAAUGCAUUCCAAAUGGCCUCGAUAAUUUAUCUUCUUUGUUUCCCGCUUUUGGUUCUAAUUCCCUAUAUAUUCCUGACAUAUUUCCAAUAUAAAAAUUAACAUACUACAAAUUAAUUUAAAAUAAAAAUUUAUUUGGAGAGCAUUAAGAUAAUUUAUAAGUUAUGAGCUCAUUAAUCAAUACUGCAAAUGAAAAAUUGAUAAUUUUAACCUUAUUAAAUGUAUACUUUUUAGUGUCAAUUACUGGUGACUUCUUUAGGUUUCAUAUAGUGAAUGAUUGGGAUGACAUUGACAUUGAUACAGAGGUAGUUAAUCCAUCAUUAUCCCAAUUUUUCAAUGAUUGUCCCUCGCAACCAUUUUCAAAGGAUGCUAUCUCUAAAGAAUCUCCAAUAAAAACAGUCAUGCGGCAUACACAAGACUUUUCAUCACAAGUUGACCAACUAGAAUCUUUUAUAAGAAAGGCAAAGCAGCCAUUAUCUUUAAGGAAUACAAUCAAAGGUUCACAAAAAGAAGCUAACAAAAAAGAAGUCUACAUUUGUCAAAUAAGGGCUUCUGAGAGACAAGCAAGUGAAAAGCAAUAUGCAAUUAUUUUAAAGAUGGUUUAAAAUAAGAAAGCAAAUAAAACAAGAAAGAGAAAUGUUGCAGAUUUAGAGCAUGUAAUGAGGAGGCCCAAGACAACGAAGAAGAGGAAGUCAAGCAUGAAUAUAGAUGAUGGUGCAAGUUCAUCAUCACAAAUUGUUUGUCAUGAUAAUGAGUUAUCAAAAGCAAAGGAUGAUUUAUAUGCAUUUUCUAAAUCAGAAGAUGAUAUUGAUGAUGGAGAAUCUAGAGAACAAGAAACUUAAUAUCAUUGGGAUGAGCAUAAUGCAAAUGAUGACUUAUUAGAUGGAUAUGAAAGUGGCAAUGGAGAUUAUGGGCUAAUGUCAGAAUUAGAAAAAGAGCAUCCUUUUAUUAAAAUGUCCAUUUGUUGGGUCGUCAAAUGCUUGUAGAUGGAAUAGAACCUGUUGAAUUCAAAGUUGGACAAGUGUUAAAAUAUUUUCAAUCUUUUGCGUGGGCUCUAAAGGAUUUCUGUAUACAACAAAAUUUCAAAGGAAAAAGAACUAAGUUUAAGAGAAGAAGAGUUGUAUGUAUAUAUUAUAUAGACAGGCGCCUCUUCAAAGAACAUGUACUACUUUGGAGAUUUGGACAAUGUUUUUAGAUCACAACCUUACACAGUAUAUAUACUUGUGAGGAUCUUGUCAAAAAUCCAAAGCUUACUAUUGGUUAGAUUGUAAGGAAGAAUAAAGUGACAGAUGAUCCAAAGACUACUGUAGGUAGUCUCAUUGACGAUCUUAAGACAAUGUAUGAAGUAGAGGUAGAUCUCUAGGAAGUUUACAGAGCAAAAAAAAGAUAUUUAAGUCAGUUACUGCUGGAGAUCAUGUUAAAAUCUUUAGACAACUUUGAAAUUUUACUCACAUCAUUAAAAAAACAUAUGCUAAAGGCUUUAACAUUGCUUAAAGUAACAAAAAAAAACCUACAGAUAAAUGCAAAUUCCAAAGGUUCAUGGUGAGCUUUAUAUGUCUUAGAUAUGGCUUCAAGGAAGGGUGUAGGCCAUUUAUUAGGCUGGAUGGUUGUCAUUUAAACAACAAAAUCGGCUUUGAACAGUUAAGAAUAUAUGUCGUUAAAGGAAUGUAACGGCAUAAAUUGACAUGCUUUUGAUCCACAAGCUGUUAAAAAUCACAUACUUUUUACGGCAUUAAUAUGAUUUUGUUAUUUAUGCCGUUGAAAAAAUUAUAAAGCUAAAAAUGUUUGCCAUCAUAGAUAAAUUUAAUAGCUUUUACCACUUUUCUAUUUUAACCAAAGACGAGCUAUUGCAUUUGCCAAUAAAUUAUGAGUUGAUAGCUAGCUUUAACAAAUGUUAUGCAAAUGAAUAUUCUGGUGAACAAUUUCAGUCAAAUGACAAUCAAUAAAAUUAAAAAAUCAAACAAUUCCAACUUUACAUAUAUCAUAAACAAUAUCUCUUCCAUUCAUGAAAUACAAUUAUGAAUACAAGAAUUUGUACUGUCAAAUUGUCAAGUGGCAAUCCAUAAAUUUGAAACCAAUGCAUACACAACACUUAAACAAUGAAGUUGUUAUAUUUCGACAAAAUGAAAAAUGUACAACUAAAACAAAUCGAUUGAAAAUUUGAUAAAAGAAAAGAAAUUUUAACUUUUAAAAAAAAGUUCUUCAACUUCUUCCUCUUGAACUCAUGUGCCCUUAUAAGUAAAAUCCAAAUCAUUAUAUUAAAAAAAUGAUAAUAAAAUUAAACUUAGCAUUUAAAUUAUGUGUGUGUGCUAGCAAAUGAUUUCAUUAUCAAAGAAAGCAAACUGAAUAUAUUUCUUUAACACAAAUAAUCAAACAGUUGGUAUGCUACCAUAUUCUAUAUACCCAAAGUGCAAUUUAUACAUAUCUCUAGCAACAAUUCUCCUAGAAAAAUGAUCAAGUUUUGGACAUGCUUUACUUAUAGGUUUCUAAAACCCUUCUUUCUCAAUAAAACUAAAAGUCAAUUCAUCAAUGAUCAUUUCAAUGCAUGCUUUUCUAAGUUCUUUUUUGCUACAAGACAUUGCCAAAAGACUACCCCUACCAUCGAUCAUGUUAUCCUAAAAAACGAAGGGAUUUUGUUUUGAAUCAAAUUUCAUAUCAACAUAGACUGUACAUAUUAACAAGUGAUUUGAUGAAGUACGAAUCCCAAUAAGUCUAGAAUAAUACACAUACACUUUAUAUUAGUAGUCAGACUUACAUUUUGUAUCAUUCUCAAUUUUUGCGUAAUGUUCCCAUACUUUUGAAACUCUCCCUCCUCUUCUCUAGCUCAUUUGUGUAUUAGUAACACUUUGAGUUCUUGGAGGUGCAGAGAUAUUACCUCCUUUAGCAUUACUAGAUGAAUUUGCUUGCAUCUGUAAGGAAAAAUUUUAAGAUGUAAGGAAAAGUUUUAAGACAUAUGAAAAUUGUCAUUAUGUUAUUAAAAUUAACAAAUAAAGAUAAUAAUAAUCAUAUUUGUGCUAAUUUGAUUGAGCUUGACACCUUAACAACCAAAAAUUGACCAAUUUGUUUCAUCAAAAAAUAUUAUAGAACAUUGAAUAAUUGUAUCCAAAUCGAUUGGGCUUGACCUGUUAACAACCAAAAUUGAUCAAUUUGUCUCAAAACAAUAAUCGACUAGUAAAUUGAAAAGAAAUAAGUGUUGGGGAAAAAUUAGGUUUUUAAAUUUUUUAUAAAACCUUUUAAAGAUCGCUCUCAUAUAAUAUAUAAGAAUUUGUAAUCUAGAAAUCGUACCUUGAAAAUCCGAUUUGGCUUUGUCCGUUGAAGUGAUUUAGGCUCCUAAAUCACGAUCCACCACCACCACUCCUGUUAGAUCACGAUCUGUCACCACCACGCUUGUUAGAUCACGAACUGUCACCAAUGAUCUUCCAGGUUAUGACUCAGGUUCGAUCUGCACUUGACGUGUGGGUGCCUUUAUCACUACCAAAGCAACUAGCACAAGAAAAUUUUUCUCUCAACAAUAGAGAGAAAAAUCUUAUUCCCCAAUCUGUAUAAAGUGGCUGCUCACUUUUCUUUAGAGAAAAUAAGCCUUUUAUUAUCACCCUUUAGUGAAAACCCUAGGCUCCAAAUAAUCCAAAAACAAAACCCACGUUAUUUUCUUUUUCAAUAGGGAACCCACCUUGUAAAAUAACAUAAGGCCCCUUACACAAAAGCUAAUUAAAUGGAGCCUCCCACUAAAUGAUAUAUUUAGGCUUUUGACCCAAAUAGCUAGUUAUCUUACUUAUUAGUCCAGUAGUGGUGCAGUCAAUUAAAUGAGAUAACCCUGGGAUCAUUUGGGAACAUACAAUAGUGGCUACAAUAAUUAGGCCUGUAAUUAAACUAGCCUAAUUAUUUAAUUCCAAAUCUACUCCACUAAAAGAUUGGAACUGACUUCCAUAAUUGUAUGCUCGAAUAAUAAUUCAUCCCAAGCCACAUUGAUUUCUUUACUGCACAAUCCUUUGUACCACAUCGUUAAUUAAAUUGAUAUCUCAACUGUCCAAUCAAUUUAAUAACAUCUUAUUCCUUGAUCCUUACUGGUUUUCUCUAAUGAUCAUUUUCAACAUACCAAAUAUGUUGACACACUCUGGCCAGAGAAUUCUAUGAUCAAGUACCGAAAACCUAUCAAGAGAUGUGUUGUACAAAUUCUAUAUUUUUAAUAUAUAACUCCAAUACUCAUAAUUGCUCCCACCAAAAUACCGGGUAAUCUUGACCACAAGGAUGUGUCGUGCCCAUUGGUAACUCAAAUGAAAUAACAAUUAUAAUCAUGAAAUCAUAAUUAACUCAAGAUUAAGAUUACAGUAAAAUCAAUGCCUAUGAGAUUUAAUAAGUCUGACAGUUAUUACAAAGUUAAUUAAAUUUCAUAUGUGAUCCUGUUCAAUGUAGUCGUACUACAUCAAUAAAUUCAUACAUGAUUAAGACAAAUCAUUCAAUGAAUUUAUUACAGUCUAUACCUAAAUAAUGUGCCCAACUUUAUUUAUCAACUGCGAACUAAAUUUAUUUAAUCAUAAGAUAACUUGUAUUUAUAUCUUCUGUGAAUCCACAUGGUGAUCACAUAAAUACAUAUAAUAUGAUUAAAUGGACUUUAAUACAAAUAUUAAUGCAAUUAAGAUAUUUGAAUAAAAUACCUCAUUAAUUUUAUUAAUCAGAAAAAAUAUUUAUUACAAUUAAAUAAACACAUGUGCUUUUAAAGAGUAUAUUUUCCCAACAAUAAGAACCUAUGUGCUUAUGUUGCCGUUCAGAAAGGCUUGUGAGUUGUGAUGUUGUGUUCUAUUUUGUGUGCGAGCAACUGUAUUUUGAGCUAGAGGAAUUUGCAUCUCGGGUUCUAUAAAUGAGAAAGCUACAGCUGUUCUGAGAGACUUUUCUUAUUGUUUUAUAUUUUAUAUUUUUAUUUUUUCAUAAAUAUCAAAAUUUAUAUUAUAAUUGUAAUUACGUGUGUUUGUGUGUAGUCCUUCUCGAAUGAAAACAUCCUUACUUUAAUAAUAAUAAUAAUAAUAAUUAUUAUUAUUAUUAUUAUUAUUAUUAUUAUUAUUAUUAUUAUUAUUAUUAUUAUUAUUAUUAUUAUUAUUAUUACAAGUUGGUAAGUUGGGUUAGGUUAAAAACAUUUCAAUCCAACGUAAUCCCAAACAGUACGGAUUGGGAAUUUUACAACUAAUUCCAACCCAUAUAUUUUACCAGCCUAGCCCUAAAGUGCAAACAAUCAAAUGGGUUAGAUCAGUCAGUGCCUACCCUUAGUUGGUGCUCAUCUCUUUUGAAGAUGAAUAUGAGGGUGAUGCUUAUUCACUAAAGGCUUAAAUCAACUCUAGAAAAAGCAAAUCUAAAGGGAGCAUCUAGUUCCAUGUCUGAUGAAAAGAGGACAAAGUCUUAGUAGAGCUCAUAACACCUUUUAAUCUUGAGUAUUAGUGAUUCAAUCUUGAGGGAAAUAUCUAAUGAGAAGACAUAUUUGGAUAUUUAGAACAAGGUAGAGACUUUAUUUAUGAAGAAGUCACUUGCUCACAGACUGUUUCUUGAAGAAAAUGUUGUAUACUUUCUAUAUGAGAGAUGGUGUGUCAAUUUAAGAACACAUUGAUGACAUAUUUAAUAAGAUCUUUUUUUAUCUUGAAGGAGUUAUGUCAUUCCCUAAACCCAAAAAGGUUUUAGGUGAUUUUUCUAUCAAUCAAUAUCUUAAAAGUGAAAAAAACAUGUUGGUAAUAAGACCACUUUAACAUUGUGAAAUUGUUAAAAUAAGAGUUCAACAAAUAACUCCUAAAAAUAAAAUGCAUAUUACAAUCAAUAGGUCCCAAUAAGUUUCGUACUCUAAUUACACAUUUCAAAAAGUCUUCUAAGACUAAGAGAACCAAUGAAUAUGAUCAGCUUUGUCAAAUCCAUCACACACUAUAUCCAUCAAUCACCUGGAAAUUACAAUAAACUAUAGCGAGUAUAACAAUUCAACAAGCAAGCUAGUUUUUCAUAUAACAAACUAAAUACAUAAUAUAUAUGAUGCAUGUGCAUGAAAUAACAUGAGUACAAGGUACUUUGGUUGAUAAAUUUCAUAUGUCAUAAAUUACCAACAAAUUCUAGGAAUAUCCACAUAUUGUUACCAUUUAGUAGGACUUUACAUAUUGGACAUCAUAUAAUCAGCCUAAAUCACAUGUCGACAACUUACCAUACAUAUCACAUAUACCAAUAUCGAAGGAAAGGCCACAUAUAUCAAAAGGCUCCACAUAAGCAUAUAAGUGCCUAUUAAGCAUGUAAAAACUCAUCACAUUGUGUUAUAUGUGGCACUUUGCAGCAUAUUAGCCCUCAAGAUGUGGCCCUCAAUGCAAAUUUUUAUAAAACUUAAUAUAAUAACAAAUUUCAUAAAUAAAUCAUAAUUUGCAAAUAAAAUUAAUGAACGUAAUUCUUUUUAUAUAAGGACUUGUAAGAACACCGUAUGUUCAUGCUUAUGCCAAAUACAUAUAUCAAGGAGAUUGUCAAAUAAACUUUCUACUAUCAUCCACCAUGAACACAUCAGAAUAGUCUUUCCAAAAUCCACAUAAAUAUAUAUAUGCUAAUUGUGAUCCCAGUUUAAAGCCUAGUUUAAUUAUCUCUCGAUGAUCACAUUGAUAAGUUUAAUGUUGAUCAUAAUCUAACCACUAAAACCUAACAUUAAAAAUUGAGCUUCAUGAACAUCAUACUUAUAUAAAAAGGUAGUAAUAACUAUCCCCCUCAAGAAAUUAUUUCCUAUAACUUCAUGAAUCAAAAGGUUUCAUUCUCACGGCACAAAAACAAAAAUGACUAGUCCUCAAUCUCUGAUUUUUAUAAAAUAAAAUGCUAGUUCAAAAAUGAUAAAAUUUUGUAGGACUAAAAUAGAAACAUUAAUAUACAGGUUGUAAAAAUUUCAAAGCCAAACUGAUUUAGAAUCUACUGCAAAUAAAUCUUAUUUCAAAACUAUUAUGUCUUGGAAUCCCAAAACCAAAAUUAAGUAUCCUUCAACAAUCAAUUCACAACAAUUAAAAUUCGAGGAAUUAGGACCCUAGUUUUAGAUAUGAUAAGCUAGACAUAUAGGAGAGUAGAUCUAGAAAGUUUCAUAAAUUGUUUUAGAAGUUUUGGUCUGUCUAAACAUUUUGUUUUCCAUCUUACAACACUAUAAAAAUGUCAAUUUUCUAGAAUCACAUGGCAUCAUUUAAAAAUUCUUUAAAAUAAAAUACAAGACAUUUUUUAAUGAAACAAAAUUAUAUUUGACCCCCUAGAUGUCUAGUUUCAGAUAUAAACAAAUUUUCUUAACUCAAUAUGUAAAAUUUUAAAUAAUUUUCAGAGUGAGUUGUAAUCAUAAAAAUCUAGCACAAUAUUUCCUUAAUCCUCAUGGUUUUUAUUUAAUCAAUAGUUCCCUAACAUAUAAUACCCAUGAAAAUCUUGCAGUGACCUCAAGAAUAAUAACCCCCCAAAACUUAGUCGUAGAGAUAAAACCCAAUAAUUCUAAAAUUAUACAGGAAAUAGAGUACUUAAAAAUAUGCAUAACUUAAUCUCCUCCACAAUUUCCUAACAUUUUUUGCAUUUAAAUGAUAAAAAACAAGAAAAGCUUUAACCAUUUUCUUUCAAAUCUCAAAGUUACAACUAAGUGAAGAAGAAGAAGCUAGCUCUUAUCUCUUCUCUUUAAUUAUCUAUUUGUACGUAGGGUUUUUAGUUAAUGGGUUUGGAUGAAAUGACUAAAAUGGGCUUGGGCUAAAAGUAGCCCAAUAACAAAUGAGUCCAAGUACUAAUAUAAUGUUAAUACUAAUAUUAAUAGUAAAAAAAUAACAAUGACAAUAAUAAUGAUGUAAUAAAAUAAAGGAAAAUUUUAACAACCAAUACGCAAAUAGAUCAAUAAUCACAACAACGAAAUUAAAAUAAAAUUAAUAAUUACUAACUCAGUUUUCAAGUAUUACAAGUUAAGAAUAUCAAGAUAAGAGAUAAACAUAAACCUUACUUUCUCGUUAAGUUCUUUACCAAAUUCUUAUUAGGAUUUUGUUAACACCAUGUUGUAUGAGAGAACAACUCUAAGAUUAGAGGAUGUGAAGACUUCUUUAUGUUCAAAGAAGAUUUAAAAGCAUUCAAGAGAGAUAGAUACAAGCACUAGGGAAGGUUUAACGGUAAGAUUUGAAAAGAAGAAAGAUAAGAAUAAAAGAAGAACAAGAAUUAGUUUUAAAAGGAAGAUGACUUUAAAAGAAAAUUGAAGAGAUAAAAGUGUUUCUAUUGCAAGAAACAAAGGCACUACAUCAUAGAUGGUGCUGAAAAAAGAAAGACAGCAAGGAGAAAUCUAAUAACGCUGCUACAACUCAAAUAAGUGAUUUGAUGAGGGAUAUCAUAGUGCUGAUCUACUGGCUGUAUUAGAUGAAAAGAUUAAAGGUCAAUGGGUACUUGAUUCUAGAUGUUCUUUCUACAUGAGUCAUUAUAAAAGUCUCUUUUAUGAUAAUGAGUAUAUUGAUUGUGGGAGAGUCUUGAAAGGAAACCACGAUGCAUGGGAAAUUAAUGCUAUUGGUUCCAUUAAAAUCAAAAUAUUUGAUAAAAUCACAAUGCCUUUGGAGCAUGUUAGGCAUGUGCUUAGAUUAAAAAAAGAUUUUUUUUGGCAUGCUAGAUAGCUUAGGUUAUUUCUUUAAAUCUGCACAUGGAGGUUUAAAGAUAAUGAAAGAGAUUGUCGUAGUAAUGAAAGGUUUCAAGAUAAAUGGAUUAUAUGUGUUACAAGGCUCAUUUGUGCCUAUAUUACGUAUUUUGCACAUUAAAUUUUUUGUCAGUGGAAUUAAGCUUACCAUCUUAGUUUUGGCCAUAUAAGUGUUAAAUGUAUGCAAGAAUUAAGUAAACAGGGGCUACUGUGUGGUGAUAAAAUUGACAAAUUAGAUUUCUUUGAGAAUCACUUUCAAAAGGCGCACAGGAUCAAGUAUGAUAAAAGAUUGCAUAAGUCCAAUAAUGUAUUAGCUUAUGUACAUUCUGAUCUACGGGGGCUUGUUGAAGUUCAAUCCUUGAUUGAUAAGAGAUAUUUCAUGACUUAUUCAAGGAAAGUAUGGCUUUAUAUACUCAAAGCUAAAUAUCAAGCUCUAGAAAAGUUCAAAAUAUGAAAAGUUGUAGUUAAAACUCAGUCUGGUAUAAAAGUGAAAGCAUUAAGGAUUGAUAAUGGAUUUGAAUUCUUUAAUAAAAAGUUUAAAGUGCACUAUCAAAUUUGAGAGAUUACUCAACGCCAAACAAUCAAGUUCACUCCAAAGCAAAAUGGCUUAGUUAAGAGAAUAAAUAGGAGUCUCAUUGACAAAAUAAGGGGUUUACUAAUAAACUUUAAGCUACCAAAAAGCUUUUAUGAAAAGUUUGUUAGCAGAGAUUGUUACUUGGUCAAUGAGAGUCCUCCAUCUACAACUAAAGUCAAAACACUAGAGGAGAUAUGGACAAGUGUGCCUGCAAAUUACAAACAUCUCAAGAUAUUCAAAUUUCCUGCAUAUGUCUGUGUUAAACACGGGAAGUUUAUUGCAAAGGCUUUAAAACAGGUGUUUGUGGACUAUCUAAAUGGAGUCAAGGGGUACAAAGUCUAGUGUGGAGUUACUCAUAGGUGUAUCAUUAGUAGAGAUAUAGUAUUUCAUGAGGAUGCAAUGAUCAAGAAACCUAAUCUUGUAACUUUUGACACAAAUCCUUCUAAUGAUAAGUCAGAUAAAGAGAAAGCAACUAUAAAAAAUUCAAAGGUUAAGGUGGACUCAUCUACUAAUAGUGGAGAUGAGGUACAAUUUGAAGAUUAUGUAAAAGGUUCUCAAUAAAUAAUUGAAAUUAAUGAAUCAAGAAAAAAAUCCUCUAAUUUAUGAGAUUAACAAUUAGCAAUGGAUAGAGCUGGAGGAGAUAUCAGGCCACCUACCAGGUAAGCUUAUGUUGGAAUGAUUGUAUAUACACUUAUGAGUGUAGAUGAUAUGGCUAUUGAAGAGCCUAAGAAUUACUGAGAAGUAUUGAAAAGUAGUGAUAACAAUAAAUGAAUUUAGAGAAUGACUAAAGAGAUAGAUUCUUUAACAAGAAACCAAACUUGGACACUUGUAACAAACUUAAGCAAUAUAAAACUAGUCAGUUACAAGUAGAUUUUCAAGAAGAAAAAAAGACUCUAGACAUUAAAGCUUCUAGGCUCAAACCAAGGUUAGUUGUCAGCAGGUUUGCAUAAAUAAACGGGUGAAUUUCAAUGAAAUUUUCUCUUCUAUGGUAAAACAAGACUCUACAAAUAUCUUGUUGGCCAGUGUAACAUUGUUUGAUUUAGAGCUUGACCAGAUGGAUCUAAAGGCUACAUUUUUUAUGGGAAGCUUGAAGGAAAGAUAUUAACAACACUGCAUGAAGUAUUUGAGGUCAAAGGAAAGAAAGAUCAUAUUUAUCUUCUCAAAAAAUAUUUUUAUGGCCAAAAGCAGUCUCCAAUGUAAUGGUAUAAGGGUUUUGAUACCUCAAAUGGCUAUUGCAAAAGCAAGUAUGAUAGUUGUGUCCACUUAAUGAGCUUAAAUUCAGGAGCAGUAUAUCUUUUGCUAUUUGUUGAUUUCAAUAAAAAUAUAGGUGAAUUGGAAAGCUUAAAGGUCUAAGAUUAGAGAAUUUGAAAUGAGGGAUCUUGGUUGUACUAAAAAAAUCCUAAGCAUAGAUAUCAUCAGAGACAGAGUUGUUAGAACUUUGUUUAUACGCCAAGAGAGAUAUAUAAAAAAGAUUCUUGAAAGGCUUUAUAUGCCAAAUUUAAAACAUGUUCAAACACUUUUAGGCUCUCAUUUCGAACUCUUCACAGAAAAAGCACUAGUAUCUCGCCAAAGAGAAGUUCUUGAUCAAUGAAUUUCCAUAUGCUCAACCAAUUUGAAGCCUCAUGUAUGCCAUGUUGUGCACACAGGCUGAUAUUGCAUAUAUUGUUAGUGUUGUGUUGGUAAUUAUUAUAAUCAAAUGUUAUCGAUGCCAAUGUGCAAGUGUACACAACAAGUAAUAAAGUAAUGAAUAUUCAAGAUUGUCUCUACAGGAUUGAUGUUACUAGAAAUGUUACAGCAAUCACAAUAGUGCAAUCUACCUUAAUCCCGAAACUAACAAAUGUAAAAGUUGGUUCUAUUAGAAUUGAUAAUUGUGACAGAAUAAAAUGAAACAAUACAGUAAUGAAAUAAAAUGUGUCGAAGAAUCAAUUGAGAACAAGGUAGUUGAAUGAUCAAACUCUCUUUAUGGGCUGACUGCUUUUUCUUAAAUUAACACCAGUUGUUACAACAAUUGUUACAGCACUGGGCAGAAUUAUUUUGCAUCCUUAGCUGUCGCGUGUUGGAAUUCUCACACCCUUAAGUAUAUUAGCAAUGACCAGUUGUUAUUCUACCUACGGCAUGGCCUUAUGAACCUUUAUUCUCUCCACCCUACAAGGUGAGUACCUACAUCUAGUUUGUCACAAAUCUUAACUUUAAGUAUAGCUCUUAAGGGAUUCAAGAUAAACUUAAUCCAGGAAACUUAAAUUAAGAUCAAGUAUUACUCUAAUAAUAUCCGCUAAGACAUGCCCUUUUGCGGCUUUAUCUUAGCAAUGACAUAGCAACUCAUAAGAACAACAAGAACCCAUUAGAUUGUUUGUCACUCAACUACAAGCAAAUUUAGUUCAUAUUCUGAAAGAGAAAAACAAACAUCAAAAUAUUGGUCAUAAAAUACAUCGGUUCAAUCAACGAGUAAGGAAAAGAACAAGUAGAGAACGAUGAAGAUUGAAUCCAAAUAACUCUACUGGAUUCUUCCUAAUGCAGAAUUGGUUCCCUUGAAUUUAGAUUGUUUUCUUCUCUUUCUCUCAAUUUUUCCAAUGUUAAUUCCUUGCUGCCGUUUUAUGUGGCGCGCGCCUUCUUUUAUAACUAAAAAACUAGGGUAACAAAAGCAUCGGCCGUGCAUGAGUUAAAUUAGGAAACUACAGAUCGUAAUUCUGCAGCUGACCCACGCUAAGUUUUCUCCCUCAAUGCUCCAGGAUUGCUACAGCAAUGGUUGCUUUAACAACGGCUAUAACACUGCACUGUUCUCGGUUGUGCUUCACUUCUUUUGUGGCCAUAUUCUUUCUUCCUCUUGCUAGUCUAAUAUCUCAGCAUCCCUUCAUGAAUUAUAAACUUCUAAAAACCUACAAUUAUGCACAUGUUUUGAGCACAAAUUAUUUUAAUUCAAGCAAAACUUAUUAAGACUCAACUAAAAUGAAUGUUUAUGCAAAAUAUAACUAAAAUAUAAUAAAAACACCUCAUUUACUCUCUAAGUGAUCUUGAUUUAAGUCUAGAAUUGCUGUAGUAACUCUCAUUUCAUAGAGUUAUCAUGUUGUCAGCAGGUUCAUGAGCAAUCUUAAAAAUGUGCAUUGGGUUGUUGUAAAAUAGAUUAUGACAUAUCUCGAAGGCACUUUUAAUCAUCGUUUAAUAUAUAGGAAAGCUAAGCUAGAUGAAUGUAAGAUUGUGGGAUAUGUGAAUUAUGGUUUUUUUGGUGAUUUGGAUGAGAGGAAGACAAUUACAAGCUACUGUUCAUGUUGAAUAAUUGCUUGGUCAAUUAGAAAGCAAACUUGUAGCCUAUUAUUGCUUUGUCAUCUACAAAAGCAAAUUUUUGUGGUAGUUAUUGAAGUUAUAAAGGAGUCAAAAUGGCUUAGUGAGUUAUUAAAUGAACUUUGGUUCAAUCAGAAGACUGUCAAAAUCUUCUAUAAUAAUCAAAGUGUCAUUCAGCUCACUAAAAAUUACAUUUAUCAUGAAAGAACCAAACAUAUCAAUGUUAAACUUCAUUUCAUCAGAGAUGAAAUAACUAAGGAAACUAUGACAAUAUCCAAAAUUCACAUGAUGUUAAUCCUACUGAUGUGCUCAAAAAAGUCAUCCCUAUUGCUAAAUUCAAGUUGUGUUAACUUAGUUGGGGUUGUGACUAAUUCUUGUUAAUUGUUUUGUGUAAUUAAGUGAAACGUUAUGUGCUUGAAGGUGUUUGAAGGCAUCUUUUAUGGUUAAAAGUUAAAUUGAAUCAGAUCUGCAAAGUGGAGAGAAUGUGAUUAUUUAUAUUCAAUUUUGGACCUAAAUGCAAUUGAGGAAGAGUUUCCGGGUCAUAGUGUAGAUCGACUUCAGUUACGAGGUCAAUUGGUAAAUACUUUGCUGAUGUGGCAAAAGUCAUUUGGUAGUUUCCAGAGAGUUUCCAAAAACACCUAUAUGAAGGGGCUAAUGCACAACACCUAGUGUUAAUGUGUGAUUUUCUUUUGUUUUUUAAACAAAUUCGUUUAUUCCUGAUUUUGUGUAACCUAUGCAACGUCCAAUGUAAAGUGAGAUCCGUAUCGAGUUAGUUUUAUUAAUAAAAGCAUGUUAGUUUUUCCUUCAAACUUUGGUAGUUUUUCCUUUAAGUUUUGGAGCUCAAUCACUAUUAUAGUUUCUUUUUCUUUCUUAUUUCUUCGAUCUUUCUAAUUCUAAUUUUUGUUUUGCUUCUGAAUUUUUUUUUUUUUUGGCUUAUGAGUUGAUAUAUUUUUUUCUUAUCAAUUAUCAUGUUCUUUGUGUUUUCUUGACUUGAUUAAUUUCUGAAAACAUAAUAAUUCUUAAGGUUAUAUAUACCUAAAGUUUCAGAGUUUAGUCUCAUCAAAUUGUAAUUAUAGUUUAUAGAAUUUCAUGGUUGUUUAUUUUAUAGGACAUUUUAUUUUAACAAUUUAAUUGACUUAAUUUCAAUAAGUUAAGUCAUUAAGUUUAUUCUUUUUUCAACUUAAUGAAAAUUUUCAAUUUUUAGGUAAUUAUGUUAUUAAGCCAAUUUGUUUUUAGCUUUUUAAUUAAUUUAAAAAGUCUUAAUGACAUUAAGAAAAAAUAUUCUCCAAAAAUAACUAAUUAAUUAAUUAAUUAUUUUCAUCAUUACCGAAAUAAAACUUACUAGUUAGCAUUACUCUUCAUUUCCAUAAAUUGUGAUAAUUGAUAAUGUAGUAGUAAAUUAUUAUUAUUAU